AGUGAACGUUGGCGGCGUGGAUUAGGCAUGCAAGUCGAGCGAGAACCGUAGCAAUACGGGGACAGCGGCGAAAGGGACAGUAAUGUGUAGGUACCUACCCCGGGGUCUGGGAUAGCUGCGGGAAACUGCAGGUAAUACCGGGUAAUGUCUUCGGACCCAAGGUGUGAUUCCACCUUGGGAGGUGCCUGCAUCCUAUUAGCUUGUUGGCGGGGUAACGGCCCACCAAGGCAACGAUGGGUAGCGGGUGUGAGAGCACGACCCGCGUCAUUGGGACUGAGAUACUGCCCAGACACCUACGGGUGGCUGCAGUCGAGGAUCUUCGGCAAUGGGCGAAAGCCUGACCGAGCGACGCCGCGUGCGGGAUGAAGGCCUUCGGGUUGUAAACCGCUGUCGUAGAGGAGGAAAUGCAGGGGGGUUCUCCCUUCUGUUUGACCUAUUCUAGGAGGAGGGACGGGCUAAGUUCGUGCCAGCAGCCGCGGUAA
This 482-nucleotide ribosomal RNA is filed under the name uncultured bacterium. RNAcentral describes it as "partial 16S ribosomal RNA". It matches the Rfam family "Bacterial small subunit ribosomal RNA", at positions 28 to 523 of the family's 1533-position model. The record is from RNAcentral.